UUUUUUGUCUUUUGACAGAAUCAAAUUUGUAAAUUCACAAUGAAGAACUGCAGUUCUGAGAAUUCAUGAGCUAAAUUAAAUAUUCACAAAGCAAAUAACUACAAUUCUGAUGCAUUAUAUGCUACGAAGUGCAAACACA
Molecule: long non-coding RNA, 139 nt
Organism: Populus euphratica (Euphrates poplar)
Lineage: Eukaryota; Viridiplantae; Streptophyta; Magnoliopsida; Malpighiales; Salicaceae
Exons: 2
Source: RefSeq, a predicted model, not a curated record